Molecule: long non-coding RNA, 2069 nt
Organism: Lycium ferocissimum
Lineage: Eukaryota; Viridiplantae; Streptophyta; Magnoliopsida; Solanales; Solanaceae
Exons: 2
Source: RefSeq, a predicted model, not a curated record
UAUGAAUAUUGUUAGGGGUAAAAUGGUACUUUAAGCUUAUGCUUGAAUGUCAACAAUACGUGUCCAAUGUUAAAAGAGUAGGACACGGACACAUCUAGAAGUUGGAAUUCCUUUACCAUCUCUUCAUUCUUACUCUGGGCAGUCCGCAACGGGAAAGGUGAACGAGCACGACAUCAAAGAUUACACGCAAAGGAUCGUAAAUUGUACAACUCCUAUAAACUUUGCCGGAUUGCAAUUUUCGAACCAGGUGUAGCACUUUAAACAUUAUCAACACUACAUUUGGGUUUAGUCAGUGCAUUUCUCUUCUCUUUCACUACUCUUUGUUCCAUGCUCUCUGCAAUUUUGCCUCGCUACUCCCUGGUUGGAAGUGUCACUUCUCUGUUUGAAUGUCCACAAACAAAGUUGCUGCGGCACGUAGAGCUCAAGAGAAUAAGGAACAACGAUGCGCUAAUUGAAAUUUGAGACGUCGCACCAGAUAUGCACAAAUGCACACAAACGUAUAUUUAUUAUGUGGAUGUGCCGUUUUCUCUUUUUCGUUUGCUAUCCUGAUUACUCUCCUCCUUUUUCCUCUUCUACUUUCAAUUGCAGAGUUCGUGAUGAAAGAUCAUUUUGUAGUGAAAAAUAACGAGAAGGCCUAUAUCGAUACGCUCAAUGGACAUGUCUCUCUAGAUAAUUUGAAGGAGGCAUUUCUUUUGCAUUAAUGAUUCCUAAUAACAAGCUUUAGCUUCUUGAUUUUUUUGCAGGAUUCAUUGUUGGUGGACAAUAACGGUAACAAGAUGUCCUUUAAUUGUAAUUAAAAAGAACUUCAAAUUAAGAUUUUAACUAAAUGUCUUUGAUUAAGAAAUGUGCGUAAUGGAUGAGAAAAAGAGUUAAAAGCGACAAAAUAGAAGAAAAAACUUAUGGACGUGGUCCAUGUUCUUUUUUCCAACAAUUGCUUGAUUUGAUUAAGUUGUAGCGUACUUUUUGUUGUUUUGUUAAUGGAUUGUAUCUCUUUUUCGGUGUUAAUUAAUGGGUAAACAUUAGAAUUGAUAUUUUGUAGACUUGAAUGGAGAAAAAAGUGUGAAAUCGAGGGGAAGUCCAGAGCACCAAUACGAACACCAUAUGUGCAUCCAAAUUUGAUUCCCUGAAAACUUAAUAUUCAUGGAAUGGUACAUUCAUAUUAUUUUAUUGACAUUUUGAUAUUAUGUUAAGAAUAAGAUAUUUGUGUAAGCCAUGAUAUUUUAAUAUUGUGUUCGCGAGAUUCAUGAAGGCACAUUUUAAUUCACCAUACAAGAAACUUCACUUUGACAUUAUCCUGAAGCUAAGGUUAUUUAUUUCAUCAUGAAGAAAGAUAUGAAGUCAAUAAAACCUUCUAAAUAGAAAUAAUGCUCUAAUUUGACCAGUUUUUGCAGUCAAAAGCAUUUAAAAGUCAGCUAAUUGUUCAAUUUGUUUUCCUUUCCAUGUUCCUUUUAAGGUAUUGGUUUACCUAUUCGAAAAUGCUUAAUAUUGCGCUGCUUUCUUGCAGGAAGCUUCUAAUGGGAGCUGCAUUUGGAGGAAAAGAUGCAGAAAGAAUGACUAAAAUGAAAUAGAAGUUCAAGUAAGGCAGCGUUAAUGUGGAAGGAUCACUUUUAGUGUUCUUGUCAAUUAUUUAACUCAAUGCAUCUGUCCAAAGUUGACAGGAGAAGAAGUUUUGAUUCAAAAGAUACCCUUCUAUACGUUUCUGGAGCUAAAGCUUUGAACAACAUAAAGGCUUCUCAUUAUAAUUUCACUCCUACUUUGGGACAUAUAAAAGAAAAAGGAAGUUUAUAUAGCAAACCCUUGCUCCCUUUACUAUUUUAGAAAGUAUUAAUGUUUUGCUUGUCUAUUUCCCCGUCUCAGUUGGCAAGGCCAUCUUUGCUAUACUCCAAGACAGAGGCAGAGUUGAAUUACCAUGUGCUGCAUUAUUUCAUCAUGGUAUGAUCUUGACCUUACAUAUCCUGAAAGCUUCUUUCAGUUUCAGUAUGUGCUUUUAUCUCAUAUUUUCAGUGAAUAUAGUGAUGUAGUUAAUUGAUACUUCUCCAAGCUAGAUGACUAAUAUUUUAGUUGGUUUA